CCUACGGGAGGCAGCAGUGAGGAAUAUUGGUCAAUGGACGAGCGUCUGAACCAGCCAAGUCGCGUGAAGGAUGACUGCCCUACGGGUUGUAAACUUCUUUUAUCAAGGAAUAAAGUGAGGCACGUGUGCCUUUUUGUAUGUACUUUAUGAAUAAGGAACGGCUAACUCCGUUCCAGCAGCCGCGGUAAUACGGAGGAUCCGAGCGUUAUUCGGAUUUAUUGGGUUUAAAGGGAGCGUAGACGGGUUGUUAAGUCAGUUGUGAAAGUUUGGGGCUCAACCGUAAAAUUGCAAUUGAAACUGGCAGUCUUGAGUACAGGUGAGGUAGGCGGAAUUCGUGGUGUAGCGGUGAAAUGCUUAGAUAUCACGAAGAACCCCGAUUGCGAAGGCAGCUUACUAAACUGUGACUGACAUUGAGGCUCGAAAGUGUGGGUAGCAAACAGGAUUAGAUACCCGAGUAGUC
Molecule: ribosomal RNA, 460 nt
Filed under: uncultured bacterium
Lineage: Bacteria
Description: partial 16S ribosomal RNA
Rfam family: Bacterial small subunit ribosomal RNA
Source: RNAcentral